This is a long non-coding RNA of Lolium perenne, 476 nucleotides long. RefSeq lists it as uncharacterized. NCBI's taxonomy places the organism in Eukaryota, Viridiplantae, Streptophyta, Magnoliopsida, Poales, Poaceae. The record is from RefSeq and is a predicted model, not a curated record.
CAACGCCUAUAAAUAUCACAACUCCAUCAGAUAAAAAAAUGUCCAACUUGGGGUAGAUCAAAGGAAAAUUAAGCAAAGACUCCUCAGAAUCGAUCCAUACGAUUUAUACCACAACUUGUGAAAGCAUGAAGGCCGUUCCAGUUCUUGUCUGCAUCCUGUUGGUGAUCACGUUAUCUGCUGCUGCUCCGGCGAGAAAGUUGGUCAGAGAUGAUGGACAGCAGACAGGCGAAACACAAACGAAAAUGGAAGUGAUUGAUGGGAGGCCAUCAUCUGGUUACGGUGACCAUGUCUGCCCAAGAAGCAUGUUCCCUGGUUGCUCAUAAUGGUUGGAAAGGGUCGUUUCUAAUGGUCGUGGUUGACAGGAAAACUGUCUGCUAGCUACAUCAAUGACGGAUCAAGAAAUAUUGCAGCGAAAGGUUUAUAUGUAUAAAUAAGCUGAUGCUAUAUACAACAGAAAGAUCGUCUAUCUCUUUUAA